GUGAACAAUCGCUCCAAGUCGAGCUUUUCCCUUAACAAUGCAGUAAGGUAUCUCCAUCUUCCUGCACAAGGCAGGUAGCCAAACCACAAGCUCAAUCGGGUCCACAUCAUGGGCAAUUACAACCAGUUGAGCCUUGUUCUGCUCAAUAAGGUAUGUGAUGUGAUUAAGCCCAUACUUGACCACAAUAGGCUUCUUGACCUCGACAGUCUUCCCUUCAGUCUCAGCUUGAGCCCUCUUCAAAAGCCGCUCUUUCUUUGCAGCUUUAUCCUCAGGACGGUAUUUGAGAAACAUCUUGAAAAGGUUGGUUGCAAGAUUUUUGUCGAGAGUCCUCGUGAACUGGUUGAUAGCCGGGGGAACCUUGAGCCUCUGCUUGAGGAUCCUGCGCUGACGCUGGAUCCGGACAACCUUGGGCCACUUGACGAACCGAUGCAGAUCCCUCUUCGGCGGCAGC
This 451-nucleotide unclassified non-coding RNA is filed under the name Hevea brasiliensis (rubber tree). Lineage: Eukaryota; Viridiplantae; Streptophyta; Magnoliopsida; Malpighiales; Euphorbiaceae. The record is from RNAcentral.